This 381-nucleotide ribosomal RNA is filed under the name marine Metazoa environmental sample. Its description in RNAcentral is "SSU rRNA". It matches the Rfam family "Eukaryotic small subunit ribosomal RNA", at positions 587 to 972 of the family's 1831-position model. Lineage: Eukaryota; Metazoa. The record is from RNAcentral.
AGCUCCAAUAGCGUAUAUUAAAGUUGUUGCAGUUAAAAAGUUCGUAGUUGGAUCUCAGGUCCAGGCUAGCGGUACGCCUCGCGGCGGUCACUGCUCGUCCUGACCUACCAGCCGAUCUUCCGUCGGUGCUCUUCAUUGAGUGUCUUCGGCGGUCGGAACGUUUACUUUGAAAAAAUUAGAGUGUUCAAAGCAGGCGAGUCGCCUGAAUAAUGGUGCAUGGAAUAAUGGAAUAGGAUCUCGGUUCUAUUUUGUUGGUUUUCGGAACUCGAGGUAAUGAUUAAGAGGGACGGAGGGGGGCAUUCGUAUGGCGCCGUUAGAGGUGAAAUUCUAGGAUCGGCGCCAGACGGACUACUGCGAAAGCAUUUGCCAUGGAUGUUUUCA